GGAAGGAUCAUUAGCAACAUUUUGGCAUCCACCCGUGUCUUUCGAAGGAGGACACGUGGGCGACCAUUGGAGUGUUCAAGUCCACCGGUGGUCUCUGGUGGCAACUUUUUGGCAACUUUUUUGGUAGGCCUUGCAGGCCUGAUCCGCGUUGGGUGAAACCUUUUCCUUUUCUCUUUCCUUUGAGCCGGAGACGUUGAGAGUGAGUCCCGAUCCGUUUAGGCUGCAUGUAGCUGGAAUGGCGAGGGGCGUCCUGUUGAAGCACUUCGAAGGCAUUCGAUGCUUCAACGUAUACAUGGGACGCCGUGCUGCUAGCGCCGCUCACUCUGAUCGACUCUGGCAAAAAAAGGGGGAGAAAGGAAAGGGGAUCUUGAGCGAUAGGCAAUUUGGGAACAACUUUUAACAACGGAUAUCUCGGUUCUCACAACGAUGAAGAGCGUGGCAAACUGCGAUAAGUAAUGUGAAUUGCAGGAUUCUGUGAAUCAUCAAACUCUUGAACGCAAAUUGCGCCCGUGCUUGCACGGGUACGUCUGUUUGAGUGUCGGCUCGCAAUUCUCUCAAGAGCUUUGAGGGGAGUUGGGACUCCAGAGGGCUUGCUGGUGUCUCUAAAGGGUUGUUCGUUUAGGGUUUUGGGGUGGUGACGCUUGCGUUUCCGGCCUCUUGGCCUCUGGUCUGGGCAGUGGGUCUGCACUCUCCGGGGUCUUCGAGGUCUUUUGUCUUUGGGUCGUGUUGGGUAGGAACGUCCAAGAGUGCCACUGACGUGGGCUUUAGGGAAAGGGCUGCUCGAGGUUGCGACCUCGAUUUUUCGACCUCAAAUCAGACGGGGCUACCCGCUGAAUUUAAGCAUAUCAAUAAGCGGAGGAAAAGAAACUAACUAGGAUUCCCCCAGUAACGGCGAGUGAAAAGGGAAGAGCUCAGGCUUGGAAUCUCCCGGCUACGUCGGGCGAAUUGUAGUAUUGCGAGUGUCCUUCGUGGGGGUGGCCUCGACUCAAGUCCCCUGGAAAGGGGCACCCGAGAAGGUGAGAGUCCUGUACGGUUGAGGUGCGCACGCCCCCCGGUCCGGUCACUUCGUAGAGUCGGGUUGCUUGGGAGUGCAGCCCAAAACGGGUGGUAAAUUUCAUCUAAGGCUAAAUAUUGGUGAGAGACCGAUAGCGAACAAGUACCGUGAGGGAAAGGUGCAAAGGACUCCGAAAGGAGAGUCAAAAGUGCUUGAAAUUGUUAGAAGGGAAGCGAUUGGAACCAGUGGCUGCCCCGUGUCUAAUCAGCUAAGGAUUCGGUGCGGGUACGUGGUCUUGUGAGGUGCCCCUUGGCGGUGCCCAACGGGGUCAAUGCCGGCGCCGGGUAAUUGGUGCACUUGGGCACGGAGCGUGUCAACAUCGGUUGGUGACGGGUAGAAUGGUUGGGGUCAGGUGACGGAGUGCCUCCUAGAGUGCACUGCGUGUUACAGACCCCUUCAGAUGCCCCGUCUCACCGACCGAGGAUCAGAGCGGGGGCCUUUUUGGCGGGGUACCCAGCUUCCCGUCCGACGUCAACCUUGGGGACAGCGUGCUGUGCUUGGGGUUGGGGUUGGUCAUGGAGGUUGGGCCACUUCCGGCUCGGGGAUGUUGGCGAAAUGGUCUCAAACGACCCGUCUUGAAACACGGACCAAGGAGUCUAACAUGCGUGCGAGCACCUGGGUGGUAAACCCGGUUGCGUAAUGAAAGUGAAUGGGUGGGAGCAGCGAUGUGCACCAUCAACCGGUCUUGAUAUAUUUGGAUGGAUCCGAGUCGUAGCGCGCCUGUCGGGACCCGAAAGAUAGCGAACUAUGCGCGCAUAGGGUGAAGCCAGGCGAAAGCCUGGUGGAGGCUCGUAGCGGUACUGACGUGCAAAUCGUUCGUCAAAUGUGCGUAUAGCGGCGAAAGACUAAUCGAGCUGUCUAGUAGCUGGUUCCCUC
This 1930-nucleotide unclassified non-coding RNA is filed under the name uncultured fungus. Its description in RNAcentral is "sequence contains 18S rRNA gene, ITS1, 5.8S rRNA gene, ITS2, 28S rRNA gene". The stretch from base 804 to 1930 matches the Rfam family "Eukaryotic large subunit ribosomal RNA", at positions 1 to 961 of the family's 3401-position model. The record is from RNAcentral. Lineage: Eukaryota; Fungi.